Molecule: long non-coding RNA, 1503 nt
Filed under: Suricata suricatta (meerkat)
Lineage: Eukaryota; Metazoa; Chordata; Mammalia; Carnivora; Herpestidae
Description: lncRNA (ENSSSUG00005002855.1)
Source: RNAcentral
AGCUGCUUGUUUUUGCACCUCCCUCGGGGGGUUUUAUUGGCAUAAUCCUUUAAGCAUGAAUUUAUAGUUUCAGGAGUCCGUGACAUUCAAGGAUGUGUCUGCAGAUUUCAUUUGGGAGGAGUGGCUUCGUCUAGAUUCUGCUCAGAGGAACCUGUAUGGGAAGGGGAUGCUGGAGAACUACAGGGACUUGGUGUCACUGGGUAAGGACCUGCCCUCGUACCUCAAAACCUCCCUGCUGACAGCCUUCCCCACCUCCUGACGCCUUGUACCACCGACCGGUAAAAUUCAGGAAUCUGCCUUGCAAUCCUGCUNNUGCAGAGCAUCGGCUUUCCAAACCAAAUGUGAGUUCUCAGCUGGAACUGGAGGAACUGAGCCGGUGACAAAAGACUUCCAGUGCGCCUCUCUCCAGAUUGUCUUUGAUGUUACUGCCAGACUGCGCGACCAUUUAGCCUUCUUAUCCCGUCCAGAACCAAGACGAGAAAGCGUCGAGGACACAGUGUUUCCCCCGCCACCAUGACUCACUCCUCAUAACCUUCCUGUGGGGAUAUCCAGCCAAAAUUGAACUUCUACACCCGGGCCCAACUUUCCUUUUAGAUGAUCGUUUUCCUUUUCUGUACUAAGGUUUUCAUGUAUACAGUUCAUCAUUAGGAAAACUGCCUAGAAAAUUUAAAGACAGAAAUUCUGUUCCUAGAGACAGCAUUAUCACUAAUAAACUUGUUAAUGUUGAAGCAGAGAUGGGAAUUAUUAGUAAUGUGGAAAGAAGUGAAUUUUUAGCCUCUAAUCAGUGGUCAUUAGACUUAACUCUAUUGGUGAUGUUCAGUUAUGAAGGAAACAGACUAGAACAUGUGUGAAGUAUUAGAAAACUAUCCUCAAAGAUUAUGUCUAUAAAAUAAGAUACUCUUAGGAAUUCUAUAAUAUUUUAAGAUCUCCAGGAAGCUACCCUUUACUACCCCUAAACAUAGAAACCUAUUAUUUGUGUUUUAUACAUGACUUUGUAUCAUUCUCAGAAAUGUACUGGAUGACUACCGUGUGUGUGUGUGUGUGUAAACAUAUGUACACAUCCACACAGGAUUUACAUACUGUUACAGAGUCCAUAUUUACCUUCACGCUAAUCUGAUCUCCCUCAUGUUUAGUACAGACGCAUAUCUUUGCCUCCAUUAGUAGGAAAAUUAACCUAAAAGCCCAUUAGAAAUGUAGGAGUAUCUAGAGCCCGUUGAUCCUCCCACGGGGCAGGCCCACCCGCCUCAGGACCUCUGCGCCGCUGGGACGCUCUCCCUUCAGCCGUCCUCAGCUCCCUCCUUAGCCUCUAAAGUCUUGGCUUCAGUGUCCUCUUUUCAUUGUGGCCUUUCCUGAAAACUCUAUGUAAAAUUACAAACCUUUCCCGUCACUCAUCAGAUUCCCUAUUUCCAUUGUGUUGCUUUUAUUUUUUCCAUAAGGUGUGCCACUUAAAGUAUUUUACUUAUUUAUUAUAUUGAUUGCCCUUCUUCCUCUCAUGAAAACAUA